RNAcentral lists this transfer RNA (73 nucleotides) under Camelus ferus (Wild Bactrian camel). It matches the Rfam family "tRNA". Rfam says of the family: Transfer RNA (tRNA) molecules are approximately 80 nucleotides in length. Their secondary structure includes four short double-helical elements and three loops (D, anti-codon, and T loops). Lineage: Eukaryota; Metazoa; Chordata; Mammalia; Artiodactyla; Camelidae. The record is from Rfam by way of RNAcentral.
GAGGGUAUAGCUUAAGUGGUAGAACACAUGCUUAGCAUGCAUGAGGUCCUGGGUUCAAUCCCCAGUGCCUCCA